GACGAACGCUGGCGGCGUGCUUAACACAUGCAAGUCGAACGGAGACUUGUGGAUAGAGGCUUCGGCCAAUUGAAACAAGUCUUAGUGGCGGACUGGUGAGUAACGCGUGAGGAACCUGCCUUUCAGAGGGGGACAACAGUUGGAAACGACUGCUAAUACCGCAUGACACAUGACUGGGGCAUCCCGGACAUGUCAAAGAUUUUAUCGCUGAAAGAUGGCCUCGCGUCUGAUUAGAUAGUUGGUGGGGUAACGGCUCACCAAGUCUACGAUCAGUAGCCGGACUGAGAGGUCGAUCGGCCACAUUGGGACUGAGACACGGCCCAGACUCCUACGGGAGGCAGCAGGUGGGGGAUAUUGGUCAAUGGGGGAAACCCUGAACCAGCGACGCCGCGUGAGGGAAGAAGGUUAUUUGAUUGUAAACCUCUGUCGUCAGGGAAGAAAAUGACGGUACCUGACAAGGAAGCACCGGCUAACUACGUG
RNAcentral lists this ribosomal RNA (480 nucleotides) under uncultured bacterium. RNAcentral's name for it is "bacterial SSU rRNA". It matches the Rfam family "Bacterial small subunit ribosomal RNA", at positions 28 to 507 of the family's 1533-position model. The record is from RNAcentral.